GACGAACGCUGGCGGCGUGCUUAACACAUGCAAGUCGAGCGGAGCGGCGAACGGGUGAGUAACGCGUGAGUAACUGCCCCCCUCCCUGGGAUAACAGAUGGAAACGGCUGCUAAUACCGGCUAGUGGGGGAUGACUCGCGGCAUAUCGGCUUGUUGGUGGGGUAGUGGCCUACCGAGGCGACGACGGGUAGCCGGCCUGAGAGGGCGACCAGCCACAUUGGGCUGAGAUACGGCCCAAAGUCCUACGGGAGGCAGCAGUAGCGAAUAUUGCACAAUGGGGGAAACCCUGAUGAAGCAACGCCGCGUGCGGUAUGACGGCCUUCGGGUUGUAAACCGCUUUCAGCCAUGACGCGGUAGUUGCAGAAGAAGCACCGGCUAACUACGUGCCAGCAGCCGCGGUAAUUC
RNAcentral lists this ribosomal RNA (405 nucleotides) under uncultured bacterium. RNAcentral describes it as "partial 16S ribosomal RNA". It matches the Rfam family "Bacterial small subunit ribosomal RNA", at positions 28 to 526 of the family's 1533-position model. The record is from RNAcentral.